RNAcentral lists this non-coding RNA (89 nucleotides) under pig gut metagenome. Its description in RNAcentral is "TPP riboswitch (THI element)". It matches the Rfam family "TPP riboswitch aptamer (THI element)", at positions 6 to 97 of the family's 105-position model. From Rfam's summary of the family: Vitamin B(1) in its active form thiamin pyrophosphate (TPP) is an essential coenzyme that is synthesised by coupling of pyrimidine and thiazole moieties in bacteria. The previously detected thiamin-regulatory element, thi box was extended, resulting in a new, highly conserved RNA secondary structure, the THI element, which is widely distributed in eubacteria and also occurs in some archaea. The record is from RNAcentral.
AACCACAAGGGGAGCGUAGACCGCUGAGAGAGAAUUUAUUCUGACCCUUUGAACCUGUUUAGUUAAUGCUUACGUAGGGAUGUGGUAAA